GAUGAACGCUGGCGGCGUGCCUAAUACAUGCAAGUCGAGCGAACAGACGAGGAUCUUGCUCCUCUGACGUUAGCGGCGGACGGGUGAGUAACACGUGGAUAACCUACCUAUAAGACUGGGAUAACUUCGGGAAACCGGAGCUAAUACCGGAUAAUAUAUUGAACCGCAUGGUUCAAUAGUGAAAGACGGUUUUGCUGUCACUUAUAGAUGGAUCCGCGCCGCAUUAGCUAGUUGGUAAGGUAACGGCUUACCAAGGCAACGAUGCGUAGCCGACCUGAGAGGGUGAUCGGCCACACUGGAACUGAGACACGGUCCAGACUCCUACGGGAGGCAGCAGUAGGGAAUCUUCCGCAAUGGGCGAAAGCUUGACGGAGCAACGCCGCGUGAGUGAUGAAGGUCUUCGGAUCGUAAAACUCUGUUAUUAGGGAAGUACAAAUGUGUAAGUAACUAUGCACGUCUUGACGGUACCUAAUCAGAAAGCAACGGCUAACUACGUG
Molecule: ribosomal RNA, 497 nt
Filed under: uncultured bacterium
Lineage: Bacteria
Description: partial 16S ribosomal RNA
Rfam family: Bacterial small subunit ribosomal RNA
Source: RNAcentral